GAUGAACGCUGGCGGCGUGCCUAAUACAUGCAAGUCGAGCGAACGGACGAGAAGCUUGCUUCUCUGAUGUUAGCGGCGGACGGGUGAGUAACACGUGGAUAACCUACCUAUAAGACUGGGAUAACUUCGGGAAACCGGAGCUAAUACCGGAUAAUAUUUUGAACCGCAUGGUUCAAAAGUGAAAGACGGUCUUGCUGUCACUUAUAGGUGGAUCCGCGCUGCAUUAGCUAGUUGGUAAGGUAACGGCUUACCAAGGCAACGAUGCAUAGCCGACCUGAGAGGGUGAUCGGCCACACUGGAACUGAGACACGGUCCAGACUCCUACGGGAGGCAGCAGUAGGGAAUCUUCCGCAAUGGGCGAAAGCCUGACGGAGCAACGCCGCGUGAGUGAUGAAGGUCUUCGGAUCGUAAAAUUCUGUUAUUAGGGAAGAACAUAUGUGUAAGUAACUGUGCACAUCUUGACGGUACCUAAUCAGAAAGCCACGGCUAACUACGUGCCAGCAGCCGCGGUAAUACGUAGGUGGCAAGCGUUAUCCGGAAUUAUUGGGCGUAAAGCGCGCGUAGGCGGUUUUUUAAGUCUGAUGUGAAAGCCCACGGCUCAACCGUGGAGGGUCAUUGGAAACUGGAAAACUUGAGUGCAGAAGAGGAAAGUGGAAUUCCAUGUGUAGCGGUGAAAUGCGCAGAGAUAUGGAGGAACACCAGUGGCGAAGGCGACUUUCUGGUCUGUAACUGACGCUGAUGUGCGAAAGCGUGGGGAUCAAACAGGAUUAGAUACCCUGGUAGUCCACGCCGUAAACGAUGAGUGCUAAGUGUUAGGGGGUUUCCGCCCCUUAGUGCUGCAGCUAACGCAUUAAGCACUCCGCCUGGGGAGUACGACCGCAAGGUUGAAACUCAAAGGAAUUGACGGGGACCCGCACAAGCGGUGGAGCAUGUGGUUUAAUUCGAAGCAACGCGAAGAACCUUACCAAAUCUUGACAUCCUUUGACAACUCUAGAGAUAGAGCUUUUCCCUUCGGGGGACAAAGUGACAGGUGGUGCAUGGUUGUCGUCAGCUCGUGUCGUGAGAUGUUGGGUUAAGUCCCGCAACGAGCGCAACCCUUAAGCUUAGUUGCCAUCAUUAAGUUGGGCACUCUAAGUUGACUGCCGGUGACAAACCGGAGGAAGGUGGGGAUGACGUCAAAUCAUCAUGCCCCUUAUGAUUUGGGCUACACACGUGCUACAAUGGACAAUACAAAGGGCAGCGAAACCGCGAGGUCAAGCAAAUCCCAUAAAGUUGUUCUCAGUUCGGAUUGUAGUCUGCAACUCGACUACAUGAAGCUGGAAUCGCUAGUAAUCGUAGAUCAGCAUGCUACGGUGAAUACGUUCCCGGGUCU
Molecule: ribosomal RNA, 1372 nt
Filed under: uncultured bacterium
Lineage: Bacteria
Description: bacterial SSU rRNA
Rfam family: Bacterial small subunit ribosomal RNA
Source: RNAcentral